RNAcentral lists this ribosomal RNA (578 nucleotides) under uncultured euryarchaeote. RNAcentral's name for it is "partial 16S ribosomal RNA". It matches the Rfam family "Archaeal small subunit ribosomal RNA", at positions 349 to 866 of the family's 1478-position model. The record is from RNAcentral. Lineage: Archaea; Methanobacteriati; Methanobacteriota.
UUCACAAUGCACGCAAGUGCGAUGGGGGGACUCCGAGUGCAGUCUUCCSCGCAAAACGGAAGGCCGCUUUUCUGCACUUUAAGCAGGUGCCGSCGCAAACAAGGGGUGGGCAAGACGGCUGCCAGCCGCCGCGGUAAUAGCCGCACCCCGAGUGGUAGUCAUUGUUAUUGGGCUUSCGCAAAGUGUUCGUAGCCGGACACACAAGUCUGCUGUGSCGCAAAUCCAUGCGCUUAACGUAUGGACAUGCAGCGGAUACUGUGUGUCUAGGAACCGGACGGCGUCGAGGCUAUUCCCGGGGUAGGGGUGSCGCAAAUCCUSCGCAAAAUCCUGGGAGGAGCACCUGUGGCGSCGCAAAGCGCUCGACGAGUACGGAUUCGACGGUGAGGAACGSCGCAAAGCCAGUGGAGCSCGCAAAGCGGAUUAGAUACCCGCGUAGUACUGGCUGUSCGCAAACAUUGUGCGUUUGAUGUCGGACAACCUCCGAGGUUGUCCGGUGCCGAAGUGSCGCAAAACGUUSCGCAAACGCACCGCCUGGGGAGUACGGUCGCAAGGCUGSCGCAAACUUSCGCAAAGGAAUU